RNAcentral lists this ribosomal RNA (443 nucleotides) under uncultured bacterium. Its description in RNAcentral is "partial 16S ribosomal RNA". It matches the Rfam family "Bacterial small subunit ribosomal RNA", at positions 338 to 795 of the family's 1533-position model. The record is from RNAcentral.
CCUACGGGAGGCAGCAGUGGGGAAUAUUGGGCAAUGGGCGCAAGCCUGACCCAGCAACGCCGCGUGAAGGAAGAAGGCCUUCGGGUUGUAAACUUCUUUUAUCAGGGACGAAACAAAUGACGGUACCUGAUGAAUAAGCCACGGCUAACUACGUGCCAGCAGCCGCGGUAAUACGUAGGUGGCAAGCGUUAUCCGGAUUUACUGGGUGUAAAGGGCGUGGAGGCGGGAGAGCAAGUCAGACGGGACAUGCCAGGGCUCAACCCUGGAACUGCGUUUGAAACUGGUCUGCUUGAGUGAUGGAGAGGCAGGCGGAAUUCCGUGUGUAGCGGUGAAAUGCGUAGAUAUACGGAGGAACACCAGUGGCGAAGGCGGCGUGCUGGGCAGUAACUGACGCUGAGGCGCGAAAGCGUGGGGAGCAAACAGGAUUAGAUACCCUUGUAGUC